GUUGACCUCGGAUCAGGUAGGAAUACCCGCUGAACUUAAGCAUAUCAAUAAGGCG
This 55-nucleotide ribosomal RNA is filed under the name Tolypocladium ophioglossoides. RNAcentral describes it as "partial 28S ribosomal RNA". The record is from RNAcentral. Lineage: Eukaryota; Fungi; Ascomycota; Sordariomycetes; Hypocreales; Ophiocordycipitaceae.